RNAcentral lists this ribosomal RNA (665 nucleotides) under uncultured bacterium. Its description in RNAcentral is "bacterial SSU rRNA". It matches the Rfam family "Bacterial small subunit ribosomal RNA", at positions 59 to 742 of the family's 1533-position model. The record is from RNAcentral.
CAGUCGAACGAUGAUGACUGAGCUUGCUCAGUUUGAUUAGUGGCGCACGGGUGAGUAACGCAUAGGUAAUGUGCCCCUUAGUCUGGGAUAGCCACUGGAAACGGUGAUUAAUACCGGAUACUCCUUCUCAUUACAAGAUGAGUCGGGAAAGUUUUUCGCUAAGGGAUCGGCCUAUGUCCUAUCAGGUAGUUGGUGAGGUAAUGGCUCACCAAGCCGAUGACGGGUAUCUGGUUUGAGAGGAUGAUCAGACACACUGGAACUGAGACACGGUCCAGACUCCUACGGGAGGCAGCAGUGAGGAAUAUUGCACAAUGGGGGAAACCCUGAUGCAGCAACGCCGCGUGGAGGAUGACGCAUUUCGGUGUGUAAACUCCUUUUAAGAGGGAAGAUUAUGACGGUACCUCUUGAAUAAGCACCGGCUAACUCCGUGCCAGCAGCCGCGGUAAUACGGAGGGUGCAAGCGUUACUCGGAAUCACUGGGCGUAAAGGGUGCGUAGGCUGACUUUUAAGUCAGGUGUGAAAUCCAAUGGCUUAACCAUUGAACUGCACUUGAAACUGGGAGUCUAGAGUUCAGAAGGGGCAGAUGGAAUUAGUGGUGUAGGGGUAAAAUCCGUAGAUAUCACUAGGAAUAUCAAAAGCGAAGGCGAUCUGCUGGGAUGAUACUG